Molecule: long non-coding RNA, 765 nt
Filed under: Equus caballus (horse)
Lineage: Eukaryota; Metazoa; Chordata; Mammalia; Perissodactyla; Equidae
Description: lncRNA (ENSECAG00000054985.1)
Source: RNAcentral
GUUUGAGUCAAGAAAAUCUCCAAGGACCGUUUUGGCUCAAAAAUUCUAAUAUUCUACUUAGGUAGCAGUCUAAGUCAUGAGAGAAAGGUCUCACGUGCUUUCUUUGACGCUAAUAAUAGAAUGCUAGUAACACAGCUGAGGAAGUCAUUGUGCAAAGUCAGGUCUCUCCAAACUGAGGUCAGAAGAGCUAACUGGGAGACAGACAUUUGUGUCCACAGAUUAAUUAGACAUUCAUCAUAACUGCCUGCGUGGAUGUGGGUGAAGCUACGCAUGGUGCCAAGGGAAGCCUGUGCUGCUAGGAAGUACCGCGGAAUUGUAAGCAAAGCUUCAAAAUGAAAAGGAGAAAAUCAUCUGGAUGACAUUAAAGAACAACGGGCACAGAGCCCCGAGAAGUGCCUGCCACACGACCAGCCAGAGGGAAUGUGCCCCUUGAAGCAGAGGAAUGUUCCCGCUCCAGUGAGUUCUGAGAAUUGUGGCAUGUGGGACGCUGCCUCAGUGUGGUCCGACGAGCAGUGCCAUGUCCGCGCCCAGGAUUCGAACCGACGAAACACUGGGCCGCCUGCAGCGGAGCGCGCGAACCCAACCACUCGGCCACGGGGCCAGCCCCUCUAAUGACCUCAUCUUAACGAAUGACAUCUGCGGUGACCCUAUUUCCAAAUACGGGCACAUUCUGAAGUUCUGGAGAUUGGGUCUUCAACAUAUGAGUUUUGGGUGGACAAUUCAACCCAUAACGACUCCCCUUUCCCCUCCUUCUUCCGACUUGCU